UACGUAGGAGGCGAGCGUUGUCCGGAGUUACUGGGCGUAAAGCGCACGCAGGUGGUCAGAUCAGUCUGGAGUGACAGUCGUCGGCUUAACCGACGAAGUGUUCUGGAAACUGUCUGAUUUGAGGGCUUCAGAGGGACACGGAAUUCCGGGUGGAGUGGUGAAAUGCGUAGAUAUCCGGAGGAACACCAAUGGCGAAGGCAGUGUCCUGGGAAGUACCUGACGCUCAGGUGCGAAAGCUAGGGGAGCGAACAGG
RNAcentral lists this ribosomal RNA (253 nucleotides) under uncultured bacterium. Its description in RNAcentral is "partial 16S ribosomal RNA". It matches the Rfam family "Bacterial small subunit ribosomal RNA", at positions 524 to 776 of the family's 1533-position model. The record is from RNAcentral.